CCCGGCAUGCUGCAAUUCAUGGGGUCACAAAGAGUCGGACACGACUUAUCGACUGAACUGAACGUAAGGAAGGGCUUCGGAGCUGCCAAGGAAAGCCUCUUAAACUACAGAGUUCCCCACACCCCUUUUUAAAAACUUGUGAACUAUACCAUACGUUCAGACAAGUACAAAAACACACAUUUACAGUUUAAAACUAAAAUUAAUACCAGCACUCAUGGAACCGUCACGAGGCAAAGACAUACAAUAUUGCCAGUGCUCCAGAAGUCCGCCCUUGUGCCCCUCCCCCGCCCCCCACACUUGUCUAUAUCUUGUGUGGAAAUUCAGGUAAGCGCUUUCCUGCUAAACAAACCUGAGAAACACUGAGAUGUUUUUCCAGAAUGCCCCGCCCCGCAUACUCGAAGCAUCCAAUCACACACGGUCUUCUUGCGAGAUGGUGACGCUCCAAGCCCUCCCCCCACACUCACAGCAUCCAAUCACACACGGUCUUCUUGCGAGAUGAUGAUGCUCCAGAACUUAGCUCGUAUCCGACCCUGCCUCCUAGUCCACUGAUGGGUUAGGAAGAAGUGUUUGUAGGCAGGAUCUUCUUGCAUUUUCAGGCAAAUGGCCCCAGCCACUCCAGGCUCUUCAGUCUUCUGACCUUCUGCUACCCCAUAAAGAGAAAGUGCCUCUUUUCUCAUAUGUUCAGCAAAAGUCUGGGUGCUGAUGCUGUUUGACUGAACCCUCUCCCUCUGUGGUAAGACCCCUGAACGCAUGGGG
Bubalus bubalis (water buffalo) is the source of this 756-nucleotide long non-coding RNA. RefSeq lists it as uncharacterized. The record is from RefSeq and is a predicted model, not a curated record. The transcript has 3 exons. Lineage: Eukaryota; Metazoa; Chordata; Mammalia; Artiodactyla; Bovidae.